UGCUUUCACGCUGAACUCGGAAUCUCCGCCCUCCCCGGCAGUGAAGCCUGUUACUGGGUCCAGCCUGCUGCCCUGGCACCCCUGCUCUUGGGAGGGUCCUGCCCUGGUCUGUUCGGUUCCCUGCAGAUAGUCAGCCCCGUGGUGGGCCCAGCCUUAGUCCUCUUCCCGGUGCCGCUUCUGCCUGUGCCACCCGCCCUCCACCUGCUGGUCUCUCAGCCUCAGCGGCCUGCCCUGGUGCUGUCCCACAGGAGCCACCCCUCCUGCGUCUCUGUCCCCUCAAAGGAAUGCCCACUGUAGCCACCACAGGUUCUGCCUGGCACCUGCUGGCAACUCUCUGCUGCCAUUGCCAGGACACAGCUCUUUCUGGCCCAGAGCGACAAUCCUGGCAAAUGACCUUGGAUAGCCUGGCCUCUAAGCUGAAUGCAAAGAAACCAGCAUAUGGUGAGCACUGACCAUAUGCUGGCAUUGUGUCCAGCCGUCGCCCUCACCCCUGUGCAGGGAUUCCCCUUCCAUAGAGGGGGUGACAGGAGCCUACUCGGCCCUAGGCAGGAGCCAGGCCUCAAACCCAAGUCUGGCUGAACCAAAAGUCCGCACUUCCCAGAGACUUGCCAUCUCUCUGUUCCUAAGGGAAUCUUUGCUGUUAUCAUCACACCUCACUGUGUCAAGACAGUCACAGGAAGUCCCCCAGGAGCUAGGCUGCUGGUGACCGGACGCUGCGCUGUCUGACCAGCAUGCUCCUCCCACAUUGCGGCUAAGCUGGCCAGCACCCAGUCUGGCUUUGCCCGUGUAGUACCUGGCACCUUUCUGCGGGGCUGCAGUAACUGUCCCUAGUCCCUCUUCGAGUGUGUCUCCUUAUCCUGAGGUCUAAAGUUCUGAUAAUCUCCCCCAGUGAACCCCCACUUUCUCCAAGGGGCCUAGGUCCCCGAGGGCAUGGGACCCCCAGUGGCCUGCCUUGCCAACCUGGGCCUUCUCAGGUGGGUGUGCUCCCAGGGAGCAUUAGCCCAGAGGAAGCACCUGAUCAGUCCCUGCCCAUUACCCCUAAAAGCCACAAUAAUAGACUCAUAGUGAUGACCUGCUAUACCAGAACCUCGCCCUCAGCAGAACUGCUAUUGGUCUCAAAGGCGACACUGUGAAGAACUGCUGGAAAUUCCCACUCUCCUAGCCUCCUGUUUAUUGACUGCAUAGCCGCCUCCCCUGAGUAGAACCACUGGGGAAUGUGUGUAGACACCACGCGUCAGCCAUCAUGUUUUCAUUCAGAAUCCGCCCUGUGCCCAGUGAAGUGCCAGGUACAGAGUGAGAUUCCAUGCAAAAAUAUGCGGCAUAGUCCUGUAAAUAAUUUGCAAUUAACCAGGAAGAUACAUUAACACAGGAGAAUUAAAGAACAGUGGUAAGUACACACCGGAAGUGAGAAAGCUCUGUGGCUUCCCUCACUGCCCCACUUUACCCCUGCCAGCUCAGCCCGGCCGCUUGCUGAACCCCAAUCAUGCCCAGCGACUCCUGCCUCAGAGGCUUGUCCUGCUAAUUCCUACCACCUGGAAAACCUUCUUCCGGACCUUGCUAGUGCUCCCUUUCUCGCUUUGGUCAGUUUUCCACUUCAAUGUCCCCUCCUCAGGGGGCCCUCCCCAGGUGGCUGUCUCUAAAAUAGCUCCUCUUACAGCGUCUUCUCAGCUCACUUCAGUUUUUCUUCAGAGCUCUUAUCACCACCACCUCAUAUUUACUUAUUUAUUGUUCAUUGACUGUCAGGAGUGGUGUCUGUGGUUCCCGGCAGUAUCCCCGGAGUCUGGAAUAGCGGCUGGCAUAAACCAAGCUGAGGAAAUGAGGUGGUGAGAAAGUAAUGCCCGGAGAAAAUCCCCUGUUAUGGUAGUAAGAGUAUGAAGUAGAAAAAAGAGCAGUAGAGCCACUUAUUAAAGAGAAAUUACAGUGUAUUACAUACCAUGCCUCAAAGAUCUGAAUGCUCAGCCUCUACUGUUCUCAAGGGACUUUUCUUCAUUCUGGGGACUCUGAGAUUUGACUAGAGUCUGGAGCUGUGAGACAGGAUAAGCAUCUCAUGGGCAUUCAGUCCUCUCAUCUGACGAUUGUUAAUACAUCUCAGUGCUUUUUAUUAACAUCCAAUUCAAAGAUGACCCACGUCUUAGGUGGUACUAAAAUGGAUCACACGUGUUGCACUUAAUGCCUUUCCACAGGGAAUAUCUUGUUCGAUCUUAAUGAUUCUGUCAGGUAGGUAUUAUAGCCAAUGUACAGAUAAAGAGCGGAUCCUGAGAGCUAACUGACUAGAGAGUAACGGCUUAUACUAUCCUCCCACUCCAGAGCCUAAAUCUUCCUUUCCACUCUGCUACCCUCCUGAUCUGCUUCUGUCUCUCCAGCUGAUGGUAUGUUCCUCCACGUGCACGUGCUUCCACUGAAUCAAAACGCAGUUCCUUGCUGGUGCUAUAUGCCUUAAUGGUCCUAUGCUGUUGCACAUGCCAUUCUCGGUCCCUGGAAUGAUGCCUUCCCCAUUUAUUAUACUUGGUUACUUCCUACCUUCCCUUCAAGAUACAAAUCUAGCAGCCUCUAAACAGUCUGAGAUGAAAUGGUCUGCUCAAGUGUCCUGCUGUGCCCAGCACAGAUUAUAAAGUGAUCAUCACCCACUAGCUUCUAAGCUAGUGAAUAUUUGAGAAUAGAGAAUGCCUUUAAAGAGUAAAUGGACUGGCUGGGCAUGGUGGCCCACACCUGUAAUCUCAGUGCUUUGGGAGGCUGAGGUGGGAAGAUUGCUUGAGGCCAG
Molecule: long non-coding RNA, 2761 nt
Organism: Lemur catta (Ring-tailed lemur)
Lineage: Eukaryota; Metazoa; Chordata; Mammalia; Primates; Lemuridae
Exons: 5
Source: RefSeq, a predicted model, not a curated record